AUGAUAUUUGAUUCAGGUGUUUCUGCUCCUGUUGUGAAGAUUUUGCCUCCAUCCAGUGAAGAUGUGAGCUCCAGUAAAGUGACUCUGGUGUGUUUGAUCAAUGACAUGUCUGUGGGAUUUGCUGAUGUGAGUUGGUUUGUGAAUGGAAACUCAGUUACUGAUGGCGUCUUCACCGGAUCUGCCGAACAGCAGCCGAAUGAGAAAUUCAAGUUGAGCAGUUAUUUAACCAUUGAGAGAUCAGAGUGGGAGAAAGACAAAGAUCUCACAUGUAAAGUGACUGCUGCUGGAUCAAAGAUCACAACCACAAAGAUCAAGAAAUCUCAAUGCAAUGAAUAA
Molecule: non-coding RNA, 336 nt
Organism: Paramisgurnus dabryanus
Lineage: Eukaryota; Metazoa; Chordata; Actinopteri; Cypriniformes; Cobitidae
Source: the annotation of a RefSeq genome assembly